AGGACGAACGCUGGCGGCGUGCUUAACACAUGCAAGUCGAGCGGAAAGGCCCUUCGGGGUACUCGAGCGGCGAACGGGUGAGUAACACGUGAGCAACCUGCCCUUAGCUUCGGGAUAGCUCCGGGAAACCGGAAUUAAUACCGGAUACGACCACGGCCGACAUCCGCUGUGGUGGAAAGGAUUCCGGCUAAGGAUGGGCUCGCGGCCUAUCAGCUAGUUGGUGGAGUAACGGCCCACCAAGGCGACGACGGGUA
Molecule: ribosomal RNA, 254 nt
Filed under: uncultured bacterium
Lineage: Bacteria
Description: partial small subunit ribosomal RNA
Rfam family: Bacterial small subunit ribosomal RNA
Source: RNAcentral